AACAAAAACAUGUCUUUUUGAUUAUAAUUUAAAGUCUAACCUGCCCAAUGAUUUAUUUAAAUGGCCGCGGUAUUUUGACUGUGCAAAGGUAGCAUAAUCAUUAGUUUUUUAAUUGAAAGCUGGAAUGAAGGGUUGAAUGAAAAAAUAUCUGUCUCUAUUUAAAUUUAUUAGAAUUUUAUUUUUAAGUUAAAAAGCUUAAAUAUUUAUAAAAGACGAGAAGACCCUAUAGAGUUUUAUAUUUUAAAUAGGUUAAGUAUUAAGUAUUUAGUUAUUUAAUUUUUUUAAAAGUAUUUAAUUGGGGUGAUUAAAAAAUUAAGUAAACUUUUUUUUUAUUUUUACAUUAAUUAAUGAAUAUUUGAUCCUUAUAUAAAGAUUAAAAGUUUAAAUUACCUUAGGGAUAACAGCGUAAUUUUUUUUAAGAGUUCUAAUCGAAAAAAUAGAUUGCGACCUCGAU
Molecule: ribosomal RNA, 454 nt
Filed under: Conotrachelus sp. SPN-049
Lineage: Eukaryota; Metazoa; Arthropoda; Insecta; Coleoptera; Curculionidae
Description: partial 16S ribosomal RNA
Source: RNAcentral